RNAcentral lists this non-coding RNA (179 nucleotides) under human gut metagenome. RNAcentral describes it as "6S / SsrS RNA". It matches the Rfam family "6S / SsrS RNA". Rfam says of the family: E. coli 6S RNA was the first non coding RNA to be sequenced, but its function was unknown until recently. The record is from RNAcentral.
ACCCUGCGAUGUUUGUGAUGCAGCCGCCAGUUUUGACCCAACACCUUUUAAAUGGGAUUCCGAACUCCGUUUAUGGCCGACAGGCCUCGCAAGUUCAGUGGAAGUCGAAAGUAAGCGGGAGGAAACCCACCUGCAUAUAGCAGGUUUCAAAACAGCGGCCCCACGGCAAAGCGGGGUCU